AGUCUUGUCAGCAUGAGAUUCUAUCUGUUAAAAUCGGAAUGACAAAAAAUAGAUCCAGAAAAUAAUUUAAUGCAGGAAACGAAAAAGAUAAGAAAAGAACACACCGAUAUUUACGUGGUUCGGCCAACGGCCUACGUCCACGGGCGAAGACGGAGUAGAUAAUUUAUUAAUGUCGAAAAGAUGGAGUACAAGAAAAUCUCUCAAAGAAUCCGAUAAAUU
This 219-nucleotide long non-coding RNA is filed under the name Ananas comosus (pineapple). RNAcentral describes it as "long non-coding RNA (ACOM_LNC016436)". The record is from RNAcentral. Lineage: Eukaryota; Viridiplantae; Streptophyta; Magnoliopsida; Poales; Bromeliaceae.